RNAcentral lists this ribosomal RNA (460 nucleotides) under uncultured bacterium. RNAcentral describes it as "partial 16S ribosomal RNA". It matches the Rfam family "Bacterial small subunit ribosomal RNA", at positions 338 to 795 of the family's 1533-position model. The record is from RNAcentral.
CCUACGUGUGGCAGCAGUGAGGAAUAUUGGUCAAUGGGCGGAAGCCUGAACCAGCCAAGUCGCGUGCAGGAUGACGGCCCUAUGGGUUGUAAACUUCUUUUAUACGGGAACAACACGCCUUACGCGUACGGCUUCGCAUGUACCCUAUGAAUAAGCAUCGGCUAACUCCGUGCCAGCAGCCGCGGUAAUACGGAGGGUCCUGGCGUUAUCCGGAUUUAUUGGGUUUAAAGGGUGCGUAGGCGGCAUGUUAAGCGAGCGGUGAAAUGUCCGGGCUCAACCCGGGCCGUGCGGCGGAAACUGGCGUGCUUGAGUCCGCGGAAAGCAGGCGGAAUGCGUCGUGUAGCGGUGAAAUGCUUAGAUAUGACGAAGAACCCCGAUUGCGAAGGCAGCUUGCUGCAGCGGAACUGACGCUGAGGCUCGAAAGCGCGGGUAUCGAACAGGAUUAGAUACCCGUGUAGUC